GCCGGCGCAUCACAGGGGGGUAGGAUGAUGUGGAUGUGACUGGUUAUAUAAAAGUAUAGGGCACUGUUGGAAUGAGCCAGAUGGUAUGAUAGCAGUCAUCGUAAACAGAACCGUCCGUAUUGUCCGCGUGUGGACAUGCUUCGCCUCUGCAUGACCUCGUGAACUUUCCUGACGCGUGACCUCGAAAAAUCCCUGCCACGGCUCCCCCGAGCACCCCUCCACAUCCCCGGGCUUCUCUGCACAGGCUGCUACCCAGGCAGGAAGUGACAUCAACGGGUCCAAACUAAAAAUAUGUCGCAGGACGGACUGUCUCGGAUGUCCAGGACCCGGUGUUUGUAAAGGAGGAUGCCUCGCACCGGCUCCACAAAGUGAUGCUCACUGAAGGAUGCAGGAGAGCGCCACACAGGCGAGACAGACAGACGCACGGGAGGCUGAGCUCUCUAUCAUUGCGUUCUGCUUAAAGGGGUGCUGUCUGCUAUCCAGCUACAGCUGAGAUACCGUUGACUCCUAAAUGGCCUUCCUAGCUUGGCUGGGGCUGAAUGACACCUGCACUCUUAAAUGGCAUUAAAUCAGCUGUCUGUACAACUGCUCCUGGCUAUCUUCACCCACUAUGGCUCCUUCAUGAUGGCCCCCUAAUCUCUGCCAGUGUGGUUCCAUCGUAAUAUGCAUUGCAAGGCGGCUGCGUAAUCAAGCCUGUGAACUCGACAUCUGAAGGAAGGAUUCUGUUUCUGAUCACAUCCCUAUUGAAGUCCAUCCAUUCGCUGAACAUGGAUGUGUUCACAUGCUCAUGCUUGCACUCGCUGAACAUACCAUGGAGGGGCCACAAAUAAUGCCUGAGGAGCCGAAGAAAGAACAACAGAGAUAUCACCACCUCUCCUGCUUAUUACCUCACAGCUCUACUAUCAUUUGGCUCCAGUCACACUACUACCAGUCUGCAAAAGAGCAUAGCUUCAUUUUCGUCUGUGAAAGAGGAUGUUUCAAUGUGGAGGUGUUUCCGAAGAGUGUGUCUUAUUUGAGUGGUAAAAAGCCACCUACACUCGCGUACGUACAAUUCUUCAUAAUAACAGAGUAAAUCACCAAAGCAGCAGCUACAAUUAAGUUUUGCAUUUCAUGUUUAACCUGACUUAAAACGUAAGGACUCUGAAACGCGCUAAAGUCAAGUGUUGACGUGACAUAAAUCUGACAAAAGUUUCUCAUUAAACUGUUGGAAGCAAAAAAAUGCAUCUUAACAUUUAUAGAAAUUGACAUCAGCGUUUCUUUAAAUGUGCAUUUAACAUAGGAUCUGUUGCACUGCAGGCUCCGCGUUAACAUCAACCCUCGGGGGAUUCAGUACGAUGUGUAUCAAUGCAGUUUUCUGCAUUUCGGGAGUUUUCUGGAAUGUAGGCUACACCUGCACAGACAUAAGAGUACUACAGUUUUUCACGUAUCACUGAGGUCUGCGCUAUUUUUAACCUCUGAACAUUUUUUUUUCACCUCUAGUGCAAUGCAUUUGGGUUGUUUUUUUCCAUUUCAGAAGGUUUCCAAUGGAAACUCAGAGUAUAUACAGAAUGUUUAAAGCUCGCAUGCCUAUUUAGAGUGAUGCAAAGACAUGUUACACCAUCUCAAUCUGUCAGCCUAUAUGCUAUGUACACUUGGAAGAAGUCAGUGUCUGUUUGCGCCAUAUAGAAUUAUCACCUCUUAACUAUAUGACAUUUCUGGAGAGAAACAACAAUCAUGGCACAGACGGCGUGGGGGUGGGGUGGCAUUUGCCAGUGCUCUCAUUGGGGUUCAAAAGUAGAAUGUAAAAUGUCUGUCUUUGUCUGAUCCAACACAUUUUAUUUUUGUAACUGGGAAAUCUGUUCAGGGACCCCAACAUUUUUUCCAACUGUCAGAGUGUCAUUUGUCAGAAAAAAUAAACUGAAACUGAUAUCCCACCCCCAGUCCUUCUGUAUGUUGUGAGGUUAUAGCUGUUUCAAACACGCAAGGUGGGGGUGUGUGUGGCGUGCACACGUAAACACAGCAACCUGCCACCUCAAACACACAUGUCCUGGUCAUCCUGCGGUGCAGAGAGCCCAUCUCCUGGCUGCCUCUUUGACACUGUUGUGCCCUGUGGCUUCAUCUUGACUUUCAAGAAGCCGAAACCAUUUGACUACAGAGCAUUGUCCCUCAUGAUUGAGAUGUUAACCUUCAGGGCAACCCCUUGCUCUUUAGCGACUCAUUUUUCCUCCCUCUCUUCCCCGUUCUCCUCCUCCUGCUUCUUCUUCUUCUUCUUCCUUUUCACCCUGGUUUCUCUUCGCCAGCAGCCUGCACAGUGAGGCCGCCAAGCCAUUAGUGAGUCCCAGCCCUGAUAAUGAAGCCACAGAGGUGGUCUGAGUUAGUGUGGCACAGGAGCUGGAGCACAGAGGGAAGGUAGAUUAGGAUAAUUACCUGGCCAUGGGGGCUCAAUGGAGAAAAAAAAUGCCUCACUUCCUGCAGGCUUUGAUUGGUGAAGGAGCACGGUACAAUCAGGUGCGACCCCUGUGCGCUCAAAAAGGAGAGAAUAAAGACAAAUUACUUCCAAUCAUCUUUGAUAAUCAAAACGUGAAAUGGUACAUGUUGGAUUUAACAGUAACUUCUCAUUCUUUGUUUUUGCAGGUGUUCUCCGCAUCCCUUACAUGCAUGUGUGUGUCGUUUGUUGUUUAUGUUGUUGUGCUUUGGGUCUCUCACACAUACUGUAAGGACGUCCUAAAUAUCCACGCUCGCAGACACUUUGAAGAGCAUAUGAGGUCAGGUUUUAAAUUAUGGUCUGAUCCCACACCAGGCUUUCUCUCCCCACUCCUGUAAAUCCAUUUUCCACACAAUGCAUUUCAAAUCAAAGCCGCGUCACCAUAACAUGCCUUAGGAAACAUUAAGCCAUAGUGCGUUACUUUCAUGUAUGAUAGCAUAGCCCCUGUAUGCUUUGAUGUGCUCACUUUUUUAAUGCUUUAUUAAUAAUAACACAUUGGCUCCUUCUCACACCACCAUCAGCUUCUGGUGCUCCCUUUCUCUCCUCCUGAGCUACAUCCCUCACUCUUUCCAGUGCUGCUUCAUCCCUCCCCAGCCCCUGAGUCUUGUCUCAGGAUUGGCCUGUUUGUGUUUGGGAGGGGGAUUAGAGGGAAUGACAUGGGCCUCAAGAUGAAGAGAGUGACAAAGACCUAUCAGAGGGCAGAGAGUACAGAGCGCUGCAGCAUCAUUGGUUGCUGAGGAAAUCAGACACGUCUUCAUUUCUUCCAGCCAUCCUUCUCCCAGUGCCCAGCUUUCAUUUCCUUGCCCGGGGAGGGAAGCAUGGAGAGGGUGGGGGAUCAGGAUUUGAGUUUCUGUUUGUGAGUUUAAUUGUGUGUGCACAUGUGUGUUUGCUUACAUGUUGUGAGCAGUAAACACAGAAAUACAGAGGGAUGAGCAUGUAGACACUGAUAGCACUCACCUCCUCCAAAGCUGGCCAAAAUACAAAGCAGCCUGCGCAUUUCUGGAGCUGCCCUAGAUGAACACUGUGAAUGGGAAGCCUGAUUCAUAGACGUGCAGAUCUACCUACUGAUUCCUGAAUUGUUACAGCAUUAUCACUGGAUGUUUUUGCGUUAGCGUUAACUGGCAAAACUAUCCCAAAACAUACAAUGGCUGUUCAGUAUUUGCUGAUAUUUUCUUUCUGACAAAUUCAGUGUAAUGUUGGCAAUUUACCAGAUCACUUAGCAGCUCGCCACAAUCACGUGUGCACGCUUGCACACAAACAUCUGCUGAUUUAAUUUUCUGCUUUUGUGCUUUCUUUUUGUUCGUGUCCCUUUUUUGAUGAUUCCUCGCUCUUUCUGUUAUGUGGUAUUAUUGAAUCUUGUUUUUCUUGUUGAUUUAUCAUUUCAGCCCACAACUUCUGCACCACAGUUUCUCAAGUCACUCAACUGCAAUCUGUGGUUGUAUUCUGUAAGAAAAUAAAUAUAUUAAUAUACGGAACAAGCUCA
This is a long non-coding RNA of Acanthochromis polyacanthus (spiny chromis), 3947 nucleotides long. RefSeq lists it as uncharacterized. Lineage: Eukaryota; Metazoa; Chordata; Actinopteri; Pomacentridae. The record is from RefSeq and is a predicted model, not a curated record. The transcript is spliced from 7 exons.